GAUGAACGCUGGCGGCGUGCUUAACACAUGCAAGUCGAACGAAGCUGUUAAAAGGAAGUCUUUGGAUGAAAUUUUAACAGACUUAGUGGCGGACGGGUGAGUAACGCGUGGAUAACCUGCCUUAUACAGGGGGAUAACGGAGAGAAAUUUCCGCUAAGACCGCAUAAGACCACAGCACCGCAUGGUGCAGGGGUAAAAUAUUAAUAGGUAUAAGAUGGAUCCGCGUCCGAUUAGCUUGUUGGUGAGGUAGAGGCUCACCAAGGCGACGAUCGGUAGCCGGCCUGAGAGGGUGAACGGCCACAUUGGGACUGAGACACGGCCCAAACUCCUACGGGAGGCAGCAGUGGGGAAUAUUGGACAAUGGGGGAAACCCUGAUCCAGCGACGCCGCGUGAGUGAAGAAGUAUUUCGGUAUGUAAAGCUCUAUCAGCAGGGAAGAAAA
Molecule: ribosomal RNA, 441 nt
Filed under: Lachnoanaerobaculum saburreum
Lineage: Bacteria; Bacillati; Bacillota; Clostridia; Lachnospirales; Lachnospiraceae
Description: bacterial SSU rRNA
Rfam family: Bacterial small subunit ribosomal RNA
Source: RNAcentral